This is a long non-coding RNA of Bos taurus (domestic cattle), 1334 nucleotides long. NCBI's taxonomy places the organism in Eukaryota, Metazoa, Chordata, Mammalia, Artiodactyla, Bovidae. The record is from Ensembl.
AUUUAUAAAUAUUUACGCCCUUGGACUUCAAACACUUUCCACAGCCACUUCUACUCAAAUAUUGGUAUUUUUUUAAUUGUGCUUAGAGUCAAGUUAAUUUUUUUUUUUUAACUAUCUACAAUGAGCAGAGAAGUUUUAAUAUAUCCAAUCCCACAGCAGGAACAAGAGGGAGGGAGCAAGCCUUUGUCUUUGGUUAUGUGACAACCAUAGAGGGGCUUCAUAGAACUUAUCUCAUUGAAUCAUCAAUUCAAAUUUAAAUAAAAUAGUACUCCUAUUUUACAGAAGGAGAAACACAGACUUAGCAUGGUGAGCUGCAUAGGCAGGGUAACAUGGCCAGAGAACAAAACCAAGCUCCAGACGCUCUGGCUCUAAGCUGCUUUUGCUGGACAAGGGCUCCCCCGGAGCAUGAUGGGCUCUGUGAGAGCAGCUGUGAGUCCACCUCUCCAGAGACGCUGCAGUCUCUGAGGCUGAGCACCAGGGGGCAAUCCACGAACUGCAGGAAAGCUGUCUCCCUCAGGAGGAAAUCUGGAGGAGACGGCCUCUCAGAGCCUUUCCGACUUUCCAGAGUGUUGGAUUGGUGACCACAGGGAUCGUCAAGGCUUUGCACAGACAUUCAAGUUUGUUCUGCCUUUUGGGCAUCUGGAAGGUAGGUGUGCCUUAUGCCUUGUUUUGGCUGAUGAAACAUAACCAGAUGUGAUGUGUGUCUUUUAAGGCAAAGCGUUAGGGUUGGCAUGCAGGUCAUCCUGCUCCAUCUCCACCACUUCGGUGGUCAGUGUUGGGAGAGGGUCUCCUUCCGCUUGGAUCUCUGAACUCUUCCAAGGAGCAGAGGCGCUUGCUGGCCUGCAAACAAAGAAUAUUUCUCUCCUCCUCGGUAUUCACUAUCUUGUGAUUUAUCUCAGAAAUCCAGGGUGUCCUCUGGGUUUGCAAGGUUAGUCCUAGCUACAUUCCUGCAGAAGAGAGAGCUCUGACGAUCUGAGCUCUGAGUCCUGUUGAUGAGAUGAGAUGAGAUGAGAGAUGAUGAGAACUCUGACAAUCUGAGCUCUGAGUCCCAUUGAUGAUGAGAUGAGAUGAGAGACGAUGAGAGCUCUGAGUCAUCUCUUGUUGAUGAGAGAGAUGAGAGCUCUGAGGCCCGUUCUCUUUGGUCAGCGCUACUCUAGUCCGCUCUGGAGGCUCGGUGAUGACCUGCCGAGUGCUGCCACGGAACUCUGUGAUGCACCCUAUGAACCAGGAGAGCAGGUGGAGGACAGCUCACCAAGCAACAUCUCUCAUCAGAAAGAGGAGAGAUUGGAUAGAAAAGGACAUCUCUCUUCUCCAGGCUUGGUUCUAACACACCC